This is a long non-coding RNA of Pseudopipra pipra, 5600 nucleotides long. RefSeq lists it as uncharacterized. The record is from RefSeq and is a predicted model, not a curated record. NCBI's taxonomy places the organism in Eukaryota, Metazoa, Chordata, Aves, Passeriformes, Pipridae. The transcript has 2 exons.
GGGAGCACAGAGGGGGCUGGAACUGGGCCCUGCUCUGGGGAAGCCCUGGGACCACCCAGGGACCUCAAGCACAGCCGGGCAGCUGCAGACCCUGGGGCUCUGGGGCUGGGGGGGCUCAGGCAGGCAGUGCCUGCCCCCAGGCAGCUCCCACUGUUCCCUGCACCCUCUGGCACCCACGGCCCCUGUGCUCGGGGGUCCACGUGGGGAGCCCACGCCUGCUUUGGCCACACGUGUUCGACCCCGUGGACGUGGGCAGAGCCUGGUGCUGCUGGUGCUGCAGCCCUGAGCGCCCUGCAGGGGACCGGGGGUGCUGAGGGGGUGCCGGGUGCUGGGAUCAGCCCCGUUUGCAGCCAGGAGUCAGGGGACACAGGCAGGACCCCGGGGUACGGGGUGAUGUGGGAUUGCUGCCAGCGGGGCCGUGGCACAAGCGUGGGCUGCGCGGGCACACGCGUGCGGUGCCGCGUGGGCAGGAUCGGUGCGUGUGGCGUGGCUGCCCUCUGCUGCCACGGCCACGGCAGCGCCCAGCACCACGGCACCCGUGGGACGCUGCGGGGGGGCCUUGGCAGGGACCCCCUUUGUGCAGAACAAUGGCAGCCCCCCUCCCGCCAGCCCCUGGCCCUCACCCGCAGCCUGCGGGUAGGGGUGAGGGGCUGCCAGGGCUGGGGGGGGCAGGGGAGGGGGCUCUGAGAUGUUGUUGAAGAUGAAAUGUCCCCACACCCCUCAGCUGGGACGGGGUCACCCAGCAGCCAGGAGGAAACAAAGCAUUUUCUGGGCUUUCAGAGCCCUGAGGAGGGGGCUCAGCCCCGGGUGGGCCGGUGUCGGUUCCUGGUGGUCUCCGCUGGUCUCAGGGGCGUGGGGCUGGUGUGGAUCCUGCAGUUCCAUCCCAUCCUCCAUCCCGCGUUGGGAAGCAGGUCAUGUCCAGCUCCCGGCACGGCGGCAGCGCUGGGGGAGCUCGGCUUUCUGGGGCAGCUCUGGGCUGCUGGAGCAGCCAACUGCGGCUUCCUGCGCUGCCGGGGCCCGGGGGAGGGAUUCCAGCGGCGCGGGGCUACGUGGCACUGCCGUCAGGGGGACAGGGCACUGGGGGGCUCAGCCCCCCACUCCUCUUCAGCUCACCCCAAAGAGGGGCUCUUGGCACCCGUCUCCUCCCUGGCAGCAAUACAGGGAGGGCUGGGGGGAAAAGAGGUUUCUGUGCAGGUUUGUCUGAGGAAGCUCACUGGGAGGUGGGAUGCUGGGAGGGGCUGGGAUGAGCACUGUGGCUCCUUGCAGAGGUGUGAGGUCAGUGGGAUGCUGGGGGUCUUGGCUGCUCCACGAAGGGCAUCCUUCUGCCCCAUGGAGGGCUCCCAGAAAGCUCUUUGCUCCAGGAGUUGCUCCCUCAGCUCGGGGCAGCUGAUCUGGGUGGUACCAGCCUGUGCGGUGCCAGGAUCCGGCCUUUCCCUGCGGAACGCCCGGCUCCCAGGGCAGGUGUGGUGCUGCUGGAGGCAGAGACGCUGCCUCUACCUGCCUCCAUUCAGAUCAGCGCGGGGGGAGCAUGGGGGAACUUUCCCGACUCGUUUCCCCACCUUAAGGGGAAAAAAAGAGAAGGAGUCGCAUGACUUGGAGCUUCCCGAGAGGCAGCGCGGGGAGAGUGACCCAGGGAGCCAAGAAUCUGCUCCGCUGUCGUGUCUCAUUCCUGCUCUGCGGUGCAGGGCUGGGAGAGGUUGGGUUACGGGAGGCGCGGAAAGGGGACGGUGCAGGAUGAGCUCAUGCGAGGGCGCGGGAACCUUCUGGGCAGGAAAAAACGUUGAUGCUGCAGUUCAGGGAUUUCUGCAAUCGCGGCUGUUCCCGCAGAUCCCCGGCUCGCUCCGCCCAGGCCGUCCCCUGUGCCCAGGGCAAUCGACCUGCCCGGGGGGGCUGUGGGGCUCAAGGUGAUUCACGUGCCCUCGCAGGGACACGGCAGCACACGGCGAGGAGCUGUGCAGCAAAGAGGGAGAGAGGGGGACAUGGGGUCCUGGGGGGACACCGGGGUUCUGGGGAGCUCCAGGACCCUUGUGCAGGGAGCUGGACCAAAGGCCACCCUGCAUGGGCUUGAGGGGGGUGUGGGACCAUCGGCCCCACCAGAAGUUGUGUCAGCAAACCCCAGUGUGAGGUUUUGCUACCUGGUCCCCACGGUGCCACCACCGGUGAGAGGGGGUGUGUGGAGGGGCACGAGGGGCCUGGAAAAGCUCCGAUUUCCCCCAGCACCAGGGCUGGCUCCCCUCAGUGUGUAAUUCACCCCAUGCUGUGUUCCUGGUUCCUGGCAGUUUUCUCCCUGCUGACUGUGGAUAAAUCCUUCCCACGUCUCCAGCCCUCCGUCCCACAAGGUCUCUCGGUGCCGCGCGGUCAGAGGCUGUUUGUCCUGUCCUUGGGUAGCAUCUCCUGCCCUUAAGAACUCGAUGCUGCAAAUACUCUUAGAUGAUGAUUAAUGAGCGCUUAUAUAACUGAGCUGAGUCCUUAAUGCAGCCGGGAGGGUGACAGGAGGGAAGGUGGGAGCAACAAACUGCACGUCACUGCAGCUGCUGCUGCUUUUCCCACACCAGAGCAGCCCCAUCCCGCACGGGGGGAUGCUGGAGGGAGAGCCCCCCACGGGGCAGCAGCUGGGGCAGCCCCCACCUGGGUUUCCCAGGCAGGUUUGGAUGCCAUGGCAUGGCCAGGCUCUCCAGCACGGCAGAGCUGGCAGGGGAAGGGUUUAUGCUGGUAAAGCAUCGCUGUGUGACAGUGUCUGGAAUGUUGUGCUGAUGCUGGUGAGCUGGGAGUGCUGGAAAAGGGUCCAAAUCCCACAGCAACACCUGACUGUGGCCCACGUGGGGUGAGAGGGCUGCUGCCAGAGCUGCUGUGUGCUGGGUGCAGUUGUUUCUAAAUUUGGCUGUGUUUGGGCAGGUAGGGGUGGCCUGACACACAGGAUUUGGUUUUCCAUAAUCUGGCUGGGAAGCACCAGCCCUGAUAAAUCUGCUGCUCAGCGCCAAGGCACUUCCAUGGUUGCCAUGGUUUCCACAUGCUUAUUUUCACCAUCUUCCUCACCUCAGCCGGGGUGCACCGGCAUUCCCAGCCCCGAAUCCCCCCUCACCUCAGCCGGGGUGCACCGGCAUUCCCAGCCCCGAAUCCCCCCUCACCUCGGCUCAUUUCCUAAUACUCUGGUUUGGGUAUCCCAACGCUGCUGUGCAUCCCAGCUCUUUGCUGUGCCCCCGAUCCCCCUGCUCCCUGUGCCUCCAAUCCCCCCCCUCUCGGUGGAUCCAAUCCCCCCAUGACUGCAGAUCCAAUUCCCCCACUCCCUGUGGAUUCAAUCCCCCCACUCACUAUGGAUCUGAUUCCUGUGGAUCCAGUCCCCCAUUCCCUGUGGCUUUGUCCUACAACUGGGUAAAUCCCAGUCACAGGAACUGGCCGAGGGAAGCGCAGCAGCCCCGGCUCCUCGCCAUGGCAACGGCAGGAUUGCGUCAGGGCUUUUCUUUCCAACUGCAAAGCUGGAUGAGCAACUCCCUCAGGGACAGGAGUAAGGGAGAAGGGAAUAUUCUUUUUCCCGGGGGCUUUGGGACUGCCAGUUCCCAAAUCCAGCCCCAGCUCAGUGUUUUGCUCCUUGCUCCUGGGUCCAGGGCUGCGAUGGGACAGUGUGUGGUCAUACAGGGCUGAGACACCGGGGACAGUGAGAAUUCCUGUGCUGGGGACAGUGAGUGCUCCUGUGCCAGAAAGGCUCCGUGUGCCUUCCCCACGCUGUGGCAUCUCUGCUUGUGGCACAGGCUGAGCUUGCAGGGAGGCGGGGAAGGAGCCGGAGGUUUGGUGAUGGAUGGCUGCUUCAGUCCAGCCUCGCAUUCCCUCUUUCCCUGCAGCCCCAGCAAAAACAAAGGGAGAGAAGGCAGCUCUUCUGCCGUUCAGGAUGUGCUGGGCCUCGCUGGACCGUGCUGGGCUCUGCUGUGCCCCGGUGCAGGAGGGUGGUCCUGGGGGCUCCCCAAGGCCCAGGGGGAAGAGCGCGGUGCCAGAGCCUGGAGCAGGCGUGGGCUGGUGGGUGGUUGUGUUCCCUCCCAGCCCUGGGUAAGGCACGGCCCCAGAGCAGAGACACCCAGCGCUGGCCCUGGAGCAGGCGUGGGCUGGUGGAUGGUUGUGCUCCCUCCCAGCCCUGGGUAAGGCACAGCCCCAGAGCAGAGACACCCAGCGCUGGCCCUGGCGCUCGGGCACCCUCUGCCCCAUCCUCCCUCCCGGCGCUCCCCUCCCGGGAGGAGCUGCUCUGGGAUUUGGGAACCUCAUCAGAGUGGUGCCCGGGGCGGGGGCUGCCCUUGGCUCCUGAGCAGGUGCCAGGGCUGCCGAGCAGGUUUGGGCUCCUACACAGCUCUGGGCAGUUCCGUGUGCCCUGGAAACAGGCCAGGAGUGCAAAGACUGGGAAAGGUCCCUACAAACACCACAGCAAGUGCUGCUCAGCGAGGACCCUCAGAGAAAACACCCACAGGUGAGGCUCUGGAGCUUACACAGGGAUUGGGGCAGGAUUGGUGCAGAGUGACCUCUGUGUUCUGCCUUGGGGUGUUGUGUGUUCGGGACCCCCUGGCAGGGCCCUGCUGCUGCAGGAGGUUUGAUCUAAGGACCUGAAUCCUGUGUUGUUUCAUUGAUUAAUUAACUGCCCUAAUGACUUGUGCGGGUGAGCUGCUUGCCAUCCUGAUCCCAGCACCACUUCCAGCUGGAGCCCAUGGGAUGUGCAGAGAUGUCCCUGAGCCCCUCGGGCAGGUGACACAGGGCUGCUGCAGCCCCUGUGUGCAGCCUGCUCAUGGAAUACCCUGCGCUGGAAGGGACCCAUGAGGAUCAUCGAGGCCACGGCUGACGUGACACACACCGUGUCUGAUGCCCUGGGUCAGGAACGAGCAGAUCUGGAGCACGGAAAGCUCCUGGGAGCUGUGGAAUUGGGGCAGGAGCGUGGUUUCCUCGGUCCAGCUCUCGUCGUUUCACUGGGUAACUCUGUCAGUGCCAAAGCAAAGGCACCAACACACCCAGAAUCAUGGAAUAUUCUGAGUUGGAAGGGACUCACAAGGAAGUCCAACUCCUGUUACAGAUGUUUUCUUCUUUACUGCAGAACAUAUCAGAUACAAUUAAUUAUAUAUAUAAAAAUGUAAAUUAUCAUUAUUCAGUGUUGUUAAUUUGCUCUCAGGACUGAAAAGUGAGUAAAUUUUUUCACAGUAAGAAAUAAUAAUAAUAAUAACAAUAAUAAUAAUAUUGUCUUGAUCUUGAUAUUGGGCUUUUUUAGGUGUUUUUGAGCACUUUGGUGGCACCGUCCCACCCCUGCAGGCCUGUGUGCUCAGAGAAACCACUGAUGGGGUUUCGUAAUUACUGUAUGUGUUGUUUACAAACAGCCCUUUUCCUGCAAAUCCCGAAGGUGUAGCAACAAAUCAGGGAGGAAAAGGCCAGUUUCUGUGCUCUGGGAGGAAUGGAAUGGAAUGGAAUGGAAUGGAAUGGAAUGGAAUGGAAUGGAAUGGAACAGAAUGGAAUGGAAUGGGCGCUCCCUGCUUGGACAGAGCAAUCACAGGCAGAUUUCUUUGCAUCUCCCUGCGGUUUGUUUGUCUCUGUCUCAGCGCUCGGUUUGGAAAUCAAUCACCAAAGAGUCCUUA